Molecule: ribosomal RNA, 443 nt
Filed under: uncultured Chloroflexota bacterium
Lineage: Bacteria; Bacillati; Chloroflexota
Description: bacterial SSU rRNA
Rfam family: Bacterial small subunit ribosomal RNA
Source: RNAcentral
AAGCAGCGGAGCGUGUGGUUUAAUUCGAUGAUACGCGAAGAACCUUACCUGGUCUUGACAUGCACGUGGUACUGAUUCGAAAGAUGAGGGACCCUUCGGGGAGCGUGCACAGGUGUUGCACGGCCGUCGUCAGCUCGUGCCGUGAGGUGUUGGGUUAAGUCUCGCAACGAGCGCAACCCCCGUCGCCAGUUGUAUUUUUCUGGCGAGACUGCCGGGAAAUCCCCGGAGGAAGGAGGGGAUGAUGUCAGGUCAGCGUGGCCCUUACGACCAGGGCUACACACACGCUACAAUGGGUGGUACAGAGGGUCGCGAAGCCGCGAGGUGGAGCUAAUCCCACAAAGCCAUCCUCAGUUCGGAUUGCAGGCUGAAACUCGCCUGCAUGAAGCCGGAGUUGCUAGUAACCGCAGGUCAGCACUACUGCGGUGAAUACGUUCCCGGGCCUU